Molecule: long non-coding RNA, 2068 nt
Organism: Pygocentrus nattereri (red-bellied piranha)
Lineage: Eukaryota; Metazoa; Chordata; Actinopteri; Characiformes; Serrasalmidae
Source: Ensembl
AAUCAGCAGUUCUUCUCCAGAGACUACGAGGCUGCACUGUACACACCCUGAUACAAAUCUCACCUCAUCACAGAUUCUCUGAACUUCAUCAUUAGCCUCCUGCACCUCCGAGGUCCCUCCGCACAAAGAUGACCACGAUGGGAGCUCACAGCAUUGCACGUAUAGCAGUCAUAGUGCUGGCCAUUGUCGUCUAUAUAACUGUCAUUACAUUUAACGCACUUGCAGCACAAGGGACUGGUCCUUUUCUGAGCAAGACUGCAAACAUCUCUGAUAAAUAUGUCACUCAGAUCACUCCAUCAGGAUGGACCUUCUCUAUCUGGGGUGUGAUCUAUUUCUGGCUGACUCUUAUGUUAAUCUACAUCGCGACAACUGUAUUCAGAAGGAAUGCGUACGGUCCUAUGUACUGCAGCCCGUCUGUGCUGCCUUAUGGCUUCUUCAUCUCCUGGAUUGUGAACAUGUUGAUUAACAUUGGCUGGCUCCUACUGUGGGAUAGACAGGUGAUGAUUGCAGCACUGAUCAUGCUGGCCCUGAUUGCAUUCACAAACUACUUGGCGAUAUUCUUCUCCUGUUACGGACUCAAAGAGUACGGAGCCUGGCUAAACAAGUAUCACACAAACGAUCUCUGGUGCAUUCGAAUACUGGUUCAGAACGGACUGGCUGUGUAUGCGACAUGGACAUCCAUUGCUACUCUGAUCAACUUCACCAUCGUAGUGAGUUACGAGGCUGGAAUGAGCCAGUCAGACGCAGCAACACUGUCAGCGUCAUUGCUUUUGGUGGAGGUGGCUGUUUGGUUUAUUCUGGAAAACUUUGUGAUUGACAAACAUGUGCGUUACAUCCUGACCAUCUACCCUGUGAUCAUCGUGGCCUUAUCUGGAAACAUGACGAAAAACUUUGACGCUUCAGCUCCCAGCCGCAAUGGCAUAUUCAUUGCUGUCCUGCUGGCACUAACCUGUGUGCUGUUAGUAUUGCGGGUGUGUCUGGUGGUCUGGAGGCACCUGAGACGGCCCUUCUACAGCGGCAGCCACACAGAGGAAAUUGGGUCACCUAUGGAAGCAGCUGAAAGACAGAAAAAGUUCUUCAUGUGAAAAUGCCCUGGACAUGUGCUGAGCUACUCAGUCUCCUGAGAGACACUGUAAAGUAAAAUAACUUGUAUUAAGUAAUCUGUUUAUGUAUCCAUCUUUCUACUUGACUAUCUUUUAUUCAUUUUAUGUAUUUUUAUAAUUUAUGUAUGGUGGCACUUGAAGACAUUUUCAUAAUCCAUGAUAUGUAUCUCAACAUCUCUUUUUGUGAUGAAGCAUUUGGUUGGUUAGUGUUCUUCAUACAUGGUUCAGUGUAUCUUAUACAUGAUACGUACAUGAUGCGUUCAGAAAAGCGUAUUGUAGAGUAAUGUGUCACGAUAACAAGAAAAUAUCAUCUUAUUGCCACCCCCCAGAAGGUAUUCCAUAUUAGGAUCCAGCAUCUCUUAGCAAAGUAUCUUUCAUUAACAACUUUUUUUUUUAAUGACAAGUGGUUUGUUAGCAAUGACUAGUAUUUGUUAGCACUGCAAAAUUUGGACAUUAAGUCUUGAUUGGUCAAUUACAUCUGGGCCUAAUUGUGAGAAACUGUGUAAAUUACAUUUUUGGUGUAAAUGCCGGUCUAAGGUUUAUAAACAUACGCCCCCACCCCCCAAUAUGUGAAUGUUGUAUUGCUUGUUCUCAAGCAAUAAAGCCAUAUAGUCUAAUGUGAAACUGGGUUCUUUUCAUGGGAAUUCCACUGUAUACCACUUAUCUGCUCUUUUUUGGUGUAUUUACAAUGUUUUCCUGGUAGUUUUGUACUGAUCACAAGAGCACUGAAGGUUUAUGUGCAUUUAUGAAGAUACUGUUUCUGAACAUGCUCCACUUGCCUCCUGUGACCCUCUGUGAGCCACCCACUUUACCCCACAGAUCCUAAUUUUUUAUGACAAUUAUUUGUAUUUUAAUCCCAUUAGGAGUUUUGCAAAUCCUGUGGCCAUGUGCUGAUGUCUGUUAUUGCUUUGCUGAAAAUAAUUUCUGAGACCUUCUCAAAAUAAAUUAAAACUAUGACAAAUUUA